Molecule: ribosomal RNA, 1255 nt
Filed under: 'Pyrus communis' phytoplasma
Lineage: Bacteria; Bacillati; Mycoplasmatota; Mollicutes; Acholeplasmatales; Acholeplasmataceae
Description: bacterial SSU rRNA
Rfam family: Bacterial small subunit ribosomal RNA
Source: RNAcentral
GAAACGACUGCUAAGACUGGAUAGGAGACAAGAAGGCAUCUUCUUGUUUUUAAAAGACCUAGCAAUAGGUAUGCUUAGGGAGGAGCUUGCGUCACAUUAGUUAGUUGGUGGGGUAAAGGCCUACCAAGACUAUGAUGUGUAGCCGGGCUGAGAGGUUGAACGGCCACAUUGGGACUGAGACACGGCCCAAACUCCUACGGGAGGCAGCAGUAGGGAAUUUUCGGCAAUGGAGGAAACUCUGACCGAGCAACGCCGCGUGAACGAUGAAGUAUUUCGGUACGUAAAGUUCUUUUAUUAGGGAAGGAAUAAAUGAUGGAAAAAUCAUUGCUGACGGUACCUAAUGAAUAAGCCCCGGCUAACUAUGUGCCAGCAGCCGCGGUAAUACAUAGGGGGCAAGCGUUAUCCGGAAUUAUUGGGCGUAAAGGGUGCGUAGGCGGUUAAAUAAGUUUAUGGUCUAAGUGCAAUGCUCAACAUUGUGAUGCUAUAAAAACUGUUUAGCUAGAGUAAGAUAGAGGCAAGCGGAAUUCCAUGUGUAGUGGUAAAAUGCGUAAAUAUAUGGAGGAACACCAGUAGCGAAGGCGGCUUGCUGGGUCUUUACUGACGCUGAGGCACGAAAGCGUGGGGAGCAAACAGGAUUAGAUACCCUGGUAGUCCACGCCGUAAACGAUGAGUACUAAACGUUGGGUAAAACCAGUGUUGAAGUUAACACAUUAAGUACUCCGCCUGAGUAGUACGUACGCAAGAUAUGAAACUUAAAGGAAUUGACGGGACUCCGCACAAGCGGUGGAUCAUGUUGUUUAAUUCGAAGGUACCCGAAAAACCUCACCAGGUCUUGACAUGCUUCUGCAAAGCUGUAGAAACACAGUGGAAGGUUAUCAGUUGCACAGGUGGUGCAUGGUUGUCGUCAGCUCGUGUCGUGAGAUGUUGGGUUAAGUCCCGCAACGAGCGCAACCCUUAUUGUUAGUUACCAGCACGUAAUGGUGGGGGACUUUAGCAAGACUGCCAGUGAUAAAUUGGGAGGAAGGUGGGGACGACGUCAAAUCAUCAUGCCCCUUAUGACCUGGGCUACAAAAACGUGAUACAAUGGCUGUUACAAAGGGUAGCUGAAGCGCAAGUUUUUGGCGAAUCUCAAAAAAACAGUCUCAGUUCGGAUUGAAGUCUGCAACUCGACUUCAUGAAGUUGGAAUCGCUAGUAAUCGCGAAUCCAGCAUGUCGCGGUGAAUACGUUCUCGGGGUUGGUACACCCCGCCCGCCA